ACUACGGUGCCACAGGAUGAGCUCGCGUCUCAUUAGCUAGUUGGUGGGGUAAAGGCCUACCAAGGCGACGAUGAGUAGCCGACCUGAGAGGGUGAUCGGCCACACUGGAACUGAGACACGGUCCAGACUCCUACGGGAGGCAGCAGUGGGGAAUAUUGCGCAAUGGGGGAAACCCUGACGCAGCAACGCCGCGUGAGUGAUGAAGGCUUUCGAGUCGUAAAACUCUGUCUUUGGGGACGAAUAAUGACGGUACCCAAGGAGGAAGCCCCGGCUAACUACGUGCCAGCAGCCGCGGUAAUACGUAGGGGGCAAGCGUUGUCCGGAAUCACUGGGCGUAAAGGGCGCGUAGGCGGUUUGUUAAGUCAGGUGUGAAAGUUUUCAGCUUAACUGGAAAAGUGCACUUGAAACUAACUUACUUGAGUACUGGAGAGGUAAGCGGAAUUCCUAGUGUAGCGGUGAAAUGCGUAGAUAUUAGGAAGAACACCGGUGGCGAAGGCGGCUUACUGGACAGAGACUGACGCUGAGGCGCGAAAGCGUGGGGAGCGAACAGGAUUAGAUACCCUGGUAGUCCACGCCGUAAACGAUGAGUAUUAGGUGUUGCCGAGAGGCAGUGCCGCAG
Molecule: ribosomal RNA, 619 nt
Filed under: uncultured bacterium
Lineage: Bacteria
Description: bacterial SSU rRNA
Rfam family: Bacterial small subunit ribosomal RNA
Source: RNAcentral